UAAGGAUAUACAAAACCACUGGCCAACGAUAUUUCACAAAAGCUGCCUGUACGAUCAUUUUAACACAAUAAUGCAGCUUGGUGUUUAAAAUUUCAAGUCAAACUUUGAAUCAUCUAAAGCCAAAAUAAGAUCGUUUUUUUAAAUUCAAAGUGAAAAGGACGAACUUAUUUUCAUUGCUAUUUCGAAAUACUUCAAGGAGAAGGACGAGCUCCUUUUUUAAUUUUAUAGGUUUGGGACGACAAUUGAAGAAGUUAAAAAUUACAUAAAAGAGCCAACUACCUGGAUUUCUAUUAUUGAUACAUCCCCAGAAGACGCUCUUCAAAAUAUAUCGUUUAUUUUUUUUUUAAAGAGAGAUUACUU
Molecule: long non-coding RNA, 360 nt
Organism: Rhagoletis zephyria (snowberry fruit fly)
Lineage: Eukaryota; Metazoa; Arthropoda; Insecta; Diptera; Tephritidae
Source: RefSeq, a predicted model, not a curated record